This is a long non-coding RNA of Apis mellifera (honey bee), 9365 nucleotides long. RefSeq lists it as uncharacterized. Lineage: Eukaryota; Metazoa; Arthropoda; Insecta; Hymenoptera; Apidae. The record is from RefSeq and is a predicted model, not a curated record. The transcript is spliced from 3 exons.
CCGAGAUAAAUCACUACAAAACGAAAAUAUUCCUACAUCAAACUCUCUGUCAUCAACUCCUACCAACAUAAUGUUCAUUCUCAUCAUACCUUUGUAACUUUCCAUCAAGUUUCGCGUGUACACUAGCAACUCGAAGCGUAACUCUAUUACAUCUUCGUCUCGUUAUCCGCGGGAAGAAUAAAGGGAAUCAUGGCUUCCGUUUGAAGCUCGGUUCAUAGAUCAGCUUGCGGUUUCUAUAAUUUCAGAGAUUGAACGCCGCUUAUACGCACCCGCAUCCACGAAAUCACACUGCUCUUGCAGAGAAGGGGGAAAUUAAUAUCCAGGUGAAAUUACCAUUUAUUUCCACGUCCCCGGCAAUCAGGGAAUACGCGGCUAAAUGUUAAUGGAUGACCACUGACAGCAAAUUGAAUACAGGCAUCGAUUUCAAGGCGAUACCCUGCAUGUAUACCACGACGCGCCACUUGAUCAACCGUUGACCUAUCAACUCGUUCGUUCGUAGCGACAUCGCUCGGACAGGAGAUAGAAUACACAUUUCAAAGGAGACUCGUGGGACACCGUAUUGCCACGGGUGGCCAAUUAGAAAUGCGCCAAUAGCCGUGGUUGCGUUAAUGUGCGUGUGUGUCGCCGUUCAUUGACAAGGAGUGCGGGUUUUAUUCGUUCGAUGAAGUAUCGCGAAUGGUCACGCGAUUACCAUCUAAAAGGUAAUAAUAGCGUGCUGCCCGUCACACGUAAUCGUGCAAACGUAUAAUGUUAAUUACGCAGUACAGGAGAUUAAUUCGAUUCGCGGCUGCCUUUUUCACAGUGUGGGAAACAGCAGGCGGAGUGUAAUGGCUGCGCGAAGAUGUAUUUGCAUCCUUCGUUAAAGAUUAUCCUGAUUGCUUGUUACAAUUUUAAUACGUCUUUUUUGGAAUCGUAUUUGUGGGAAAAGAAGAUACAAAUUGGAAUAUUUGGAUAUUCAAGAUAGAUAAUCUGCAGGUCUGAUUCUGAAAGAAGAAAAGCGGGCCGACAAAGAAGAAAAAGCGAUGGUUUAUCGGUGUCAAUGAGAUGCGCGCGGGCCAGAGUCCUGAUCCAAGGUUGUCCACCUGCUGCGCUAUCUAUCCGACACACGGUGUAUCCAACGCAAUAUGUCCACGCCCCGCCACGGGCGCAAUCGCGACUGCGCGUGCGACAGUCUACCUCGAGUGAAGAGACAUCUUGUUUGGAUAAAGUCUAAGUGUGUUCUAAGCGGAUACGUCGUGUCUUGGAAAUCUGUAACAAUCGGAUACGAAGAGGACGAAUCAGAUCCUGAAACACGAGUUAGGAAACAAGAUAACGAGAGACGACGGCCGUUUCACCUGUUCGAACUGUUUCACACUGUUUCACCUGUUGUUUUCGAUCCCGAGACCCGUCACGGGAUUAUUAAGGAUUUCGUGGACACGAGAGAGGGCGCAGCCAGCAAGAAGACCAAUUAAAUUUCGCCCGUCACGAGGCGAAUCCCUCGGUUAAAGAAGCUGCUGCUUGCUUAGGGCCCCCUCGAGAAUAAUGUACCGCAUUCCAAAUGAGGAGAUUUACACAAUCGGGGCGGCGGCGGACCCUCGCCCGAAGCAACAAGUCUUUUUGCCGGAACCGUUCCAGUGAUCGUUCUUUCCUGCGUUUCUUUUUCGCCACCUGGAUCCACCGUCGCGGCAAUUAGGAAGUCCUGAUUUCUGAAUUACGUCCGCAGGCCGUUUUUUUUUUUUUAUCGCUCGAAACAAUCGAUUUCUUCGACUGACAAUCGCGAAAAAGGAAGAGCGGAACGUAAUAACGAGGUUAGUAUUUAUAGGAAUAUUAUAUUAUUUAUAGGAAUAUUGUGUAGAGAUUUUAAAUUAAUCGCGAUAGUUGGCGAUUAUCGCAAGGGAGGAAGGACUUUGAUUAUCUUAUCUCUUUCGAUCUCUUCAAAAAUGUUGGCAAGAUGUUGUUUGCGUAUCCGCCAGCCACGGCGGAACAGGUUUGAAUAUUAAAUGUUUGGAAAUAUCAGUCGCUUUAUUCCGCCUGAUAUUACAGCCGACGUAAAUUUACGUAUUAAACGUUAAAGUGGAUUACGAUUAUCCGCGGAGCCGCGUAAGCGUUCAUCGCUUUGGAAUGUAUAUUAUAUAAAAGGCGGAUUCUUAUUUAAUCGAGGCGGAGAGAAAUAGAUGAGAUGUGAAUGACACGUUACUUGUGGAAACGCACGAUUAUUAAACUCCUCCUCGUUUUUCUUAACUUUUGAAAUUGAAAAAUAAUUUUGUUUCCUUUAUCGAGAAAAAUACGAAGAAAAAAGACUCGCUUGAUAUACGUUAAUUGAUAUCAAUAUUCUGAUAUCAUUGAAUAUUUCAUCGAAUUUUUCUUCUAUAUUUUAUUCUCUACAUUAACCUCAAACCUGAAACUUGAAACUCGAAGUUGAAUUGUGAAGUGCGUGUUUACAAAGAUAAUCUUAUUGCGCGUGAAAUGUUAAAAGUCGCUUAAAAGCUAAAUUAAAUUAGACAAGUUAUCGACUCGUAUUAUCAUUUUUUUUUUUUUUGCCACACGUUCGUCAGAUCCAAAUUUUUCACGUUUAUUUUACUUAUCCUCGUAAUAAUUCUCGUAUUCUUCCGUUCUUCGCGAAAAGUUCCAGCAGCAUCCAUCAUCGUAAUCGGAUAUUCCAAGCAAAAGAUUGCCUUCUCCCUCUAACUAUAUCGAUUAUCCAGCAGGGUCAUUCGAAAAGCGGAUACGUAAUACAUCAUCGUGGGGGGAAUUGCAGCGACCCGACGAGAUGCAACUCGAUUCACGGUACGUGAGGGCAGGUGUUGCCGGUUUAUGGCAAUUUUGCGAACCGGGUUGCAAUUUCGAAAGGCAAAUAACCGACACAGGAUUCGGUGGGCAUGAUUGCGAUAAGUGUGCAUCGGUACGAAAUCCAUCGGGACGCCGAUCGAGGCCGCAUAAUCGCGCCGAUUCCGAGUACGACAUGACGUUUGUAACACGUUGUUUGUAACACGUUGAUGCAUGAACCGGAUAGCAGGAUCGAGGGCACAAGUGUCGAAGUGGAAUGGAUUCGAAAAUGUAAUUUUCGCGUUCUGAUUUAUUCAUUCUUUCGAUCAAAUUUUAGAACGAGUUAUGUGCAAUGAUUCGUGAUAAGGAUAUUGAGAUUGAGGAUAAUUAUGAUUUAGUAAGAAUAUCGAAAUGAUUUCAAGUUAAAAAAAAAAGAUACUAAAUCUAAAUAUUUUAACGAUAAUUCAUAGUUUACUUCGGAUCUAAUUUAAAAAGAUUUUCAUAUACUGUUGAUGCGAAAGUGCUUUCUUAAGCUUUAUCUAAAUUUUAACUUAUUAACUGAAUUAAAUCGAUAUUUUACGUUGUAAUAUAUCGUGAAAAACAUAAUUUAGCAUAUUCAAUCUUAAAGUUAUAUACAUUUAUAUGGUAAUGUUGAGAUUGAAUCGUACGCGUGGGUUAUGAUAACGUUACGAUAUAAACGUUGAAAACUUUCUUAAUCUUUUUUAAAUUGUAAGUAAUCAUGCGUGAAACUUGAAACACGACAUUCUUGAUUUCUUUGAUUCCAUUGAUUCCUUUCCGUAUCCGUCUCCUUAAUUAUCCAACAUACAUCGCGUAUUGUACUGCCUCUAACAUAUUUUUCAUUCAACUGGAAAUCGCAUUAUUGGUUUAUCUUAAUGAUAAAAUUUGAAUCGAAUCAAAUUAUUUCUCAAAAUGUUCAAGAAAUAAUUAAUAAUCCAUCGUUAAAAAUAAAUCGAUUCGAGCAUCGAUUAAAACUAGUAAAAUUUCUUGAAAAGAAAUAUUGUGACACGUUUAUCCACGUACUUUUCUCAACUGUAUAUCUCGCAAACAUCGUACAACUCGAUACGAUUUCCUAUUUUGAUUCACAAACGCGUACGAGGAUCGAAAUAAGAGUCUCGUUUGCGGUUUAUAUAACCGAGGCCAGGCCGAUUCCUUUUCCAGAUCGAAAAGGCGCGCGAGGUUGUUUUUUGCGCGGCGCGCCGUCCAUCCAGAGGUGUGAAACACGAUUACCACGGCGCUUCGCGUCGAAUUUGGUAUCAAUUAACGAGAUCAUCUAGAUACCGUCUUAUAUGGCCAAGUUAUUCGCGAUCGGCGCUCCUUUCCGUUUGGAAAUAACGUUACGCUGCCAGACUCUGCGCGUUCCAUCUCUUCCGCGUUCGACAUAAUUCUCGUUAAAAUGUUUAUUUCAUAUCUGCCUCUACGAGAGGGAUUCAAUUAAUUUCCUUCUCCUUUUCCCCUCUUCUCGCACGCGUUGCCCCAAGAGUUGCUCGAUAAGUCGGAGCAGAUUUUCAACGAACGAGAUAAAAGAGGAUCAUUAAGAAUUUAAAACCGGGUUUCUCCUCUGCCGUUCAAACGCGUAUCCACCUCGACUCGACUUUCUCCGACUGUGCAGUGGAUCGCUUUUAAGAAAAAUCUUUCGAAACGGAUAUACACCGAUGCGAUCAUAACAAAUCGGUCUUUUUUCUUUCUUCUUUUUUUUAAUCCACAAAGUGUCUCAAUUGUGCGAAAAUUUGAUAGAUUUAACGAAUAUAUAUAUUGAAUCGAUAUGACGAUUAAAAAUCGUGGUAAAAUUAAAUUCCACUCCGAUCGAUCUAUAAUUAAUAACACAGUAGUUAGCGUUACACGGCGCCACACCUCCCAUUACCCAACGUCGCGCGACGUUUCAUUACGAUCCCCUAUUACGAUCCAUCCGCUCUACUACCGCCACCGUACGUACGGUACAUCAUAAAGGACACAAGCCCAGCGGCGCGCGCACGUCGCGACGAUACGUAAAACCGAGAGAGAGAGAGAGACAAGUCGGUCGAAUCGAGUGUGUGUGCUGCGCGUGUUUCAUCGUUGACGCGACACGGGGUCACGGGACGAUCCGUGGAAAACACGUGCACGGUGUUGGCACGUCGAUGCAUUAUUGCAUAGCUGUAACACGGUAGACGGAGACAAUAACAGACGUAGCAACGCGGCGUGCACGGUCGAGGAUGUGUUUCGACGCGCACACACGACGCGUCUCUUGGUUCGCACGGGGGGCGGCGAGGGGUGGAGGAAGACAGGGGAGUGCGAGGCGACACACGGCGGACAGAGGAGAGAGGUAAACGCGCGAGGAAGAGAGAGAGAGAGAGAUGCGUUCUCGGUGGGAAAGAAGAGGCCUGUAAGAGUGGAUCGAAGAUGUAAGGGGGCCCGUGCAUCACCUGUGUCGGCCCACGGCUAUUGCCGCUGGCGUGCCGAUGCAACCUGGCGGCCCGAACGAGGGGUGCAACGAGGGAGGGGGAGGGAUCCCUGGCGGAGGGGGUCAGCGCGGGGCCUGUCAGCCGGUGGAGGGGAGGUGGACCGCGCUGCGUGUGUGACAAGUGAGGCCCCGGGAGGUAUCGGUAACCACCACAAUCGCGUGGACGCGUACGUGGCCGAGGGGGAUGUGGGCCGACAGAGGAGUCGGUUGGAGGAUAGAGGAAGAGGCGGCCAUCGAGGAUAGAGGCGAGGAGGGAGAUGGAGUGAUCGAGUAUUCUCUGUUACCUCCGCUGGGGUGGAGGAGGGGGGAGUAGCGUUCUGGAAGCGAGAGAGAGAGAGAGAGAGAGGAAUCGCGCGCGGCUGCCCUCCGGCGCUCGUCCGACGGCAUUCCUUCCACAGGCCGAGUCGCCUCUUCAUUCUUCUUAUCGGCUCCUCUUUCUUCCUCCCCUUUGUAUUCUCGGCCGCCUCUCCUUCCUUCUCGGCUCCCACCACCCCGGCGUUCGAUAGCUCGGGUCCCAAUUUUAACCUCGAAAGACGCCUAAACACCCGACUUUGUCACCUGCCGCCCCUGCUCCACCCUCUCCCCUCGUUCCUUCCUUUUUUUCUCUUUUAACGUUCGUGCUUCACGACCACAUGGAUUGUUGGACCGUGAUUUCGUCCUCGUCGUUCCUCGUCGGUCGAUGAUCUAUCGAUAUCCGGACGAUGUUUCGAACGAUGCCAUUUUUUUUUUUUAGAGAGAGGGGAAAGGUGGGUUUGGAUCAUUUUGCAUCCGGUAUCCCUCUAGCGGCGGAAAUUUGAGUCAGUGGCACGCGUUCUAAGUAAAUACAGAGUUGGUGUACGUGCAUCGUGGCUCCGAGAGCACAGUGACCAAAACGCGCACCUUCGAAGGAGAAAGUUAGGGAGGGGGGAAAAAGAAAAGUUCAAUUGUCCGACUGGUUUCACCUAUCGGACAGUGGAAUUUAAUGCUCGAAAGAGCACACGUUUGGAUAGACGAAGACGAAGAGAUAUGUAAUCCUAAACUAACGAGAUAUAGGUUGGAACGGAGUAAACAAAUUAAGAGCCGAGACUGGUGAGAUUUUCUACGCGACGUUGUGGCAGUGAAUGUUGAGCUGGUUGUAACGUAUCUAGAUGGAUCGAUAAAGUGGAAAAAUGAUUUUCUAUUUAAUUUAUGGAAAUAUCGAAAUGACAUUAAUAACGUAGCAUUCGAAAUUGGAAAGUAACCAACAAACUAAUAUAUUUCAUUAGCUGAAUGUUAUUCGAUAAAACGCGUAGAGAUAUACAAAAUAUGUAAAAGUUUGCCGAGGCGAGAUGGCCCAACGUUGAUAACGCGAGAAUCGAUCAACAUCCGAGUAAUAGCUCGUGACAAGAAUGAUUUCCCGACGAUCGCGUAAUAGAUUCCACGGAGGGAGGAAAAAGAAAAAAAAAAAAAAGAGAUAAGCGGACAGGCCAAUGAAUCUCGUCGGUGUAAUUAAAAGUAAUUUCCUUAAGCAGCCGGGUAUCGGUCCACAGGUUGAAUUUCAACGCGAGAUAACAUCAACGACGCAUAAUUUAUACGAAGCGCAGAAAAACAAAUACAUUUCCGACGGCCGGGUCAUUAUACGUUGCGUUAUUUAUCCUUGAUGAUCAUGAAAUACCGGUUCUCCGCGAGCCGACUUACAGUACAAUAAUUAACGUACGAUAGUAAUAACGAUAAUUUCGAGAUCUCGCGCAGCAUUCCGCGCUACUGGACCAGCAACCGAGCGGGGCUGUUGGCACAUGACCGCGCGGCAGCCCUUCAUUCAUCGAUCCCCUGGCUCGAGGAUCCUAACCUAGAACGACCAUUCGCUCCUUCAGAAUUUUAUAUUCUAUUCAAUACUUCGUCCAGUCGAGAGAAGUUCUGUAUUCAUUAGAUGGACAUCGGUAUCCAUGGAAAGUUCGCACGAAGAAAUGAAAAUGACAAAUUGUCUUGAAAAUUGACGAAAGAAUCGUUUCGAAUUAUUAACAGGUUGAAAGGAGGACGUUGAUGGAACGUAGCAGUCGAGGUGGUAAUUGUUAACAUUGUCUGCAUUUCGCUCUUGGAUUUUUUUCUUUUUCAGAUUCGAAGUUACAGUUUGCUGCCCCGUGGACGUCCUCGUUCCGGUGUACCCAAGAGCUAGAGGCCAUAAGGCCCCUGCGAUCGUUCCGACGCACGUAUAUAUAGGCAGGGAGCAGCGUUGUUGGAAUGAGCGCCGCGGGUCGUUUCCUCGGCGAUUUUUACUCGCGGCAAAUAAUAAAUUAUCGGCCGGCCGUGCGUAAUCGGGCUGGAAUAUAAUCUGCGCAUGGACAACCGUAUCGCGCUGCGGUAGCUACGGAGGCUCCCUCUUAGCCUACAAUCUGUCUUACAUAUUCAUUAUGGCUGCAGGCUGGGCAGGUAUUAUCUUAGAUGGUCGGUUUGGAACAACGUAUAGCUUGUAAUUUUCAGGGGGCCCCAUGGACUCGCCCCUCCUCGCUCUUCCUCCUCUUCGCCCUCCCCUCCUCCUCCCUCCCCUUUCUCCCACACCUUCUAACUUCUAAGUUCUCCCCUGCUUCUUCUCAAUCUCAUCUUUUUUUCCACGUUCCAUUUAAAUGUAUAAAUUGUACAUAUUUCUACCCUUUCAUGCUUGGUAUGAAGAAGUUUUCAAGAUAAAUCUGAUUCAAUUUAAAUGAAGCUUUCACUUGUUGAUCUAAUUGAUUAUAAUCAUAAAAUUGUAAUUUUCAGGGGGCCCCAUGGAUUGCCCCUCUUCCUCCUCUUCGCCCUCCCCUCCUCCUCCCUCCCCUUUCUCCCACACCUUCUAACUUCUAAGUUCUCCCCUGCUUCUCAAUCUCGUCGUCUUUUUUUCCACGUUCCAUUUAAAUGUAUAAAUCGUACAUAUUUCUACCCUUUCAUGCUUGGUAUGAAGAAGUUUUCAAGAUAAAUCUGAUUGAAUUUAAAUGAAGCUUUCACUUGUUGAUCUAAUUGAUUGUAACCAUAAAAUUGUAAUUUUCAGGGGGCCCCAUGGACUGCCCCUCUUCCUCCUCUUCGCCCUCCCCUCCUCCUCCCUCCCUUUUCUCCCACACCUUCUAACUUUUAAAUUCUCCCCUGAUUCUCAAUUCCCUUUGUCUUAUUUCUUUUUCCUCGUUCCAUUUAAAUGUAUAAAUUGUACAUAUUUCUACCCUUUCAUGCAUAAAGGUAUCAAGAAGAUUUCAAGAUAAAUCUGAUUGAAUUUAAAUGAAGCUUUCACUUGUUGAUCUAAUUGAUUGUAACCAUAAAAUUACAAUUAAUAUUACACACUUUGAUCUUGAGAAGAAGUGAUUCACCUGUCAAUUAAUCAAUAAUAACGCGAGACUUUUUUGUAGUUGUGCAAUUUAACUCACACGAGUGAAAAAAUCUUUAAAAUAUUAAAAGUAUUAACGUGGAGCACCAUACAAAUAGCAUGAGAAAAGCAUAAAUGGCCAACUUCUUGAUGACGCGCAUAGGAAUUUCUCUUUUGCUUGAUCAAGCUAUACGCUUUUCGAGUUGCGGUCACCGAAGUCAUUGAGCAAGUAGGCUUAACGACCCGUGGAUUUCGUGCGUGUACACGCAUGCCACCAACACACGAUAUCGACGGUUAACCGUAAUUGCCGACCCUGCGCCCGUCGUCUACCUGCUACUCGACGAUCCUGGUAUUCCCGGAACUCUGAGCGGCGCCUUCUCCGGAGAACAAUCACCGUCCACCGGCCUUGCGAUCGUAUUACCCGCGUCACGGUUUUACUCGUGACGCGCGCUUUGCAUUUAAGAGGCCUGGUACGGCUCGCUUCCACCAGAACUCGCUUUGGAACGAUCGAGAGGACAUCUGGUGUUCUUAUUGGCGGUCAAGGAUCAUUUGCUCGUUUCUUGAAAUUAUUUCCGUUGUUGAAUUCCGCUGCAAAGAUUCUUUUUUUAAAUCGACGUGUGGAUCUUAUGGAGAAAUUGUAACGUAGGAAGAGAGAAAUAAUCGUAAUACGAUAUUAUUAUUUGAAAAUUUAUUUCAAGUAAUGAAAUAUGAAGCUAUCCUCUUUGAAUUGGACGAAGAGUAUAUGGAGAACGGAGGUAAAGGAUGAAACGCUACGAUUGGCCCCUCCCUCCUUAAUAGGUUUGAACGGCUAAUUGAUUUCAGACGAUCUAUAAUCUGUACUAUAAUUAAACCCGAAGUUUCUGUUCGAGAUUA